Molecule: long non-coding RNA, 752 nt
Organism: Mauremys reevesii (Reeves's turtle)
Lineage: Eukaryota; Metazoa; Chordata; Testudines; Geoemydidae
Exons: 3
Source: RefSeq, a predicted model, not a curated record
UCAAUGCACUCCUUUGUGGCACACUGAAAGAUGUGUAUUGUUGUUACUCUGGUGCCGGAUGCAGCAUGGAAUGUAGCAAUGCUUCGUAUUUGUUCUGUCUCUCUUCCAGUGGACUCCAUCUCUUGAUGCUCUAGGGAUUAGACAAGCAGAUCCAUUGUACAUCACUAUAGAACAUUGAGUCCUAGUGACAUAAGCAGAUGGAAUAUUCUUCCACCACAAGAUUUUGAGUUCUCAGAGUUCCAGAUAUGUACAUACCCACUUCCCUUGCCUGUUUCAAUAAUGGGCGAUCCUGAGUCAGCAACUCUAUCGAUCUGAACUCAGGUUUCUUACUUGGAAGAUCAUUUCCAAGUGACAGCAUAAAGUGAAUGAGCCAAAGUAUAGGUACGUCAAAACAUCAGACACAUACGAGCUAGGUGAGUUCCCAAGAAUUUGAUGCUUGCUGAAUCACAAGAUCUGACUAUGAAAAUCUUCCAUAAUGUCUUAAAAGGAGUCAAGUCCCAGUGGCUUUUAUAGUUGUCCAGGUUCUUCCUGGCGAAAAAAUGUCUAGAUGCCUUUCCUGAAACUGAGGAAGAGCCACUGUAGAAGCCUUCUCUAGGGGCCCCUGCUACUGAAAGAGGAGAGGAAAUAGAGUGGUGACUCUCAGGGAAUAGGGCUGCCAGCAAACAGGACCUGCCAUGAGGAGAAGAACCAGCCCAUGGGUGAGAAGCAUCCAAGGAGAGCUGCAAUCUGGGCAGCAUUUACAGGGAAGAAGA